CAGUAAUGACCAGACACAUCACACCCGCCUUCUAGAAGCCCUCCCUCACAAACCGGAUCAACUGCUAUGAUAAAGCUAAGAGGCAACAUACAUGGCUGGACAGUGAGAUUGUGUUAAUGUGGAUUAUUCCUCAACAAAUAUGCAUUCUUCUCCUCUCCCAUUGUGAAUAGAGUAUAAGUACUUACCCAUUGAUGUUGAGCUUAGUAACAUGACUUCCUUUGGAAUGUUAGUGGAAGGAAUAAGCAGAAACCUUUUAUUUGCUUGAAUAGUUUGGUUUCCUUCUUUUCAUGAUUUGCCAUGAGAAGAACCCACCCAGGUAAUCACUGCUUGCUCAGAUCCCAGCAAAUUCUAGAUCCCAGAACUAGUGCUCUUAGAGCCAAGGCCAGCCGAUCCAAGUCUGGACCACUGCUCAGAUGAGCCAAGCCUGAAUUUGGGAGUGGUCGCGUUACAGAGCAUUACCCUGGCAAUAACUGACUGAUGCAGAGAUGUAAAUAGACAUCACUGGUGGAGCCCCCAGGAAAGCUCUUUAACAGAAGACAGACUCAGCUGGCAGGUUUUUUGCCCCUUUCCCUUCUCUUCCCUUGAAUGAAGACAGGCUCAAUGCUUGGAGGGGUGAGAGGAGGCAGCCGUCUUACAACCACAGGUCACAGGAAGACACUAAACAAGGCCGUGUGGAAAGACAGAAGGAGCCUCCAUCCCUCAGCACCACAGAGAC
Molecule: non-coding RNA, 715 nt
Filed under: Pongo abelii (Sumatran orangutan)
Lineage: Eukaryota; Metazoa; Chordata; Mammalia; Primates; Hominidae
Source: RNAcentral